RNAcentral lists this long non-coding RNA (522 nucleotides) under Homo sapiens (human). RNAcentral describes it as "HSALNT0077332". Lineage: Eukaryota; Metazoa; Chordata; Mammalia; Primates; Hominidae. The record is from RNAcentral.
CAAAGAUACAGAGAAAACCGCCGAUUUUUAUGCUUAGAUUUGAUGAAGAGUGGAUAGCUGUGUAGAAAUCUGAUUGGACAAAGAGGGUAUGAUCUAAUAGUAGUAUACUGAGUGGGAAAACCCAGCAAGGCCUGUCUGUUUGGAUUUUUCUUGGCUUCUUUGUGUAACAUUCUUUCCUCCUGGGUAUGGAUCAGUAUCCUUUCUGGAAUGGGGCUCUCAUAACCUACUGUUCAACAAGCUACUCUUUAGAGGUAUGAUGGAUCUCCCCACAAAGUCUGGUUCAGGUGUCAAGACCUACACACCAAGAAACGAUGAGAAGAAUUAUCAUUCACAUGAGACUUUCUGGGGCAAGCAGAGUGGCUACCAAACAGGUCUUAAAAUGGCUUGAGAAAUCCAGAAUGCACAAGCCACGAACCCCAUUGCCAGACUGCUUGUUACAUGGCAGGUACACAAUUAUAUUUAUAAUAUAAAAAAUGAAUGAUUGAGCAAAUAAAAAUAAAAACAACUAAGAGUGGAGAAUGA